AGUGCUGGGAUUAUAGGAGUAAAGUACCAUGCCUGGCUACAGGGAAUUUUUUGUCUUGUUUUUGAGACAGGGUCUCACUCUGUCACCCAAGCUGGAGUACAGUGGCACAAUCAUAGCUCAUUGCAGCCUUGAACUCCUGGGCUCAAGCACUCCUCCUGUCUCCGUCUCACUUGUAGCUAGCAUUACAGGUGCAUGCCACCACACCUGGCUCCACUCCAUAUCUUUACUCCUCUUUAUAGUAAUAGUCCUUGAAAGAUUUCAGUAUACUUGCUAUUUCCAGUUUUUUUGUUUAUUCUCCUAAACAGUUCAGUCAAGAUUUUCCCUCCACACUCCACCACACUUACUCUUGGGAAGGUGACCAGUGACCUCUGCAUUGCUAGAUCCAGUGGUCCAUUGUCAGCCCUGAUCUCUGUGCCGCAGCAUCAUUUGAUGCAGUUAAUUACUCUCUUCUCCUUCAUAAGUGCUUCCAGGGCUUUGUUUCUUCUUGCCCUCAUGGUUGUUCCUCCUGUUCUCCUCAGCUCUUAAUAUCGGAGUGUCCAGGAUUCAGCUCUUGGUCCAGUCUUUACACACAUUCCCUUAGAAAGCUUACCUAAUUGUGUCAUUCGAAAUCACAUCUUUGUGCUGACAAAUCUCAAGUUGUUGUCUCCCACUUGACUUCCCUUGAAUUUGGAGUCAUCCAGUACUCUUUUUGAUGUCUUUAUUAUUUCAAGUUUAGCAUGUCCCAAACAUAUUCCAGUCUUCUUUCAUAGACCUCCUCCACAUGCAUUCUGCCCCAUCUCAGUUGAUGGCAACUGAAUCCUUCCAAUUACUUAGACCAAAAACUGUGGAGUCAUACUGACUUCAUAAUUUCUCUCUCAACUCACCUCUAAUUCAUCAGGAAAUCCUCUGGUGCUACCUUUAAAAUAUCUUUAGAAUCUGACCAGUUCGCACUGCCUACAUCAUGACCACCUGGUCCUUUCCUACCAUCAUCUCUCACCUGGAAUACUGCAGUAGCUUUCUAACUGGUCUCAGGCUACUGUUCCCCCUCUCCCCAGAGUCUGUUCUCAACAGAAUGGUGAAAAUAAUUCUUUCAAAAUGUAAUCAGAUUAUGCCAUUGCUUUGCUCAAAACUCUUCAAUGGCUUCCCAUCUUCCUCGGAGUGAAAGCCAAAAUUCUUUCAGUGGCCUACAGGGUCUCGUGAUGCAUCCCCAAGUCACCUUGCUGACCUCUGCCCUUGUCUUUGCCUUCUUUGCUGUGCUGCAGCCACACCAGCCUCUUUGCUGUUCCUCAGACAAACCAGCUCCAGGCCUUGGACUUGCUGUUUCUCCUGCCAGAAAAGCCCUUCCUCCUCAACCACUGCGUGAACAGUUCUCUUGAAUGACUUUCUCAAAAUCUCCCCGAGUACACCAUCCAAUCCCUUUACCCUCUGUUUUUCCAGAACAUUCUAAUAUUCCAGAAUUUUCUCUGAUAUAUCCCAAACCACUCACUACAACAGCAAGUGUCAUAGUGAGUGCUCAAAUAAUUAUUGAAUGUAUUAAUUAUCCUGAAGAUGCAAAGGAAGAUGGUAGUUUUGAAAAUGAUGUACUACAAGAACUAAAUUGAUUUUGAGCACCUCAGCAUCUGCAGCAGGAUGAAACUGAUGCUUUUGGAAUUCCAAAAGUCAUAAAGAGAAAAGGCAAGAAAAAAAGUACAAUUAAAUGUGUUAUGUAGACAAUUAGGUCAGCCAUAAGGGGAGCAGGUUAAAAUAAUUUGCCAGGAAACAAAUUGCAACACAAACAUUAAGCCCUUCACUGAAGCAGUGAGGAGUAGAAUUGAUUGAAGAAAAUCAGUAAUGCAGAAGAGAGGUUCAAGAAGCUGCCACAGAACACAGAGGAAAAAGAUCAAAACUGUAAAUGGACAGUGUGAUGUUAGAUCUAGGAGACCAAAAAAAGACAAGAAUUUACAUAGUGUUCCUGUGGAAGAAAUCCAAAAAGAGUGGAACAGAGAAGUCAUCAAAAAACAUUAUUCUUUGAUGUAUUCUUUGAUGAAAACUUAAGCUUUUAUAAAGUCCUUCGGGAGAAAACAAAAUUGUCAAAAGACACAGUAAGCUACAUUGUAGUAGAGUAUAUGAAUCAUAAGAUUAAAGGGGUAAAUUCUAUAAGGAUUGACACCUGAAAAAUGUGUUACCUACAAGGAAGCAAAAAUUAAGCUUACCUCUGUCUUUUCUGCCACUGAAUUAUAGAGUAGUAAAACAGCAUCUGUAGAUUUUUGAGAGGAUAUAGCUGUGACUCAAGAAUUUUUAUACCAAAUCAGUUGUCACUUAAGAAUGAAAACCAUUGAGGAUUCUGUGGACCAUUGGAAAAAUUUUUCAAAAGAAUGCAAACCAGGCUGGGCUCAGUGGCUCACACCUGUAAUUCCAACACUUUGGGAGGCUGAAGCAGGAGGAUCACUUGAGCCCAGGAGUUUGAGACCAGCCUGGACAACACAGUGAGACCCUGUCUCUACAAAAAUUUAAAAAAUUAGCCAAGCAUGGUGGCACAUGCCUGGAGUCCCAGCGACUCAGGAGGCUGAGGUGGGAGAAUCAUUUGAGCUCUGGAAUUCAAGGCUGCAUUGAGCCAUGAUGGCACCAUUGCAUUCCAGCCUGGGUGACAGAGCAAUACCCUGUCUUAAAAAAAAAGAAAAAA
This 2641-nucleotide long non-coding RNA is filed under the name Macaca fascicularis (crab-eating macaque). RNAcentral describes it as "lncRNA (ENSMFAG00000047693.1)". Lineage: Eukaryota; Metazoa; Chordata; Mammalia; Primates; Cercopithecidae. The record is from RNAcentral.